This is a long non-coding RNA of Fukomys damarensis (Damara mole-rat), 1544 nucleotides long. RefSeq lists it as uncharacterized. Lineage: Eukaryota; Metazoa; Chordata; Mammalia; Rodentia; Bathyergidae. The record is from RefSeq and is a predicted model, not a curated record. The transcript has 3 exons.
CGAACUCGCAGCGGCCGGGGCCAAGCAGGCGGAAGUGCCUGUACUUUGAAAGCAACCUCAGCGCUGCUGCUCCAGCUGGUCUGAGCUGGCUCGGCUCCUUGUUUGAGGGGCUUCAGGUGCUGCGAGGAGAACUCUUCCUUUGGAAAUAAUGCUUUCUGUGGUAACACCAGAGCAUGGAAGAGGCAGCGCUACUAAACAGCUACCAUCGACUAAGGCCACAGAGAGAUGCUCAUCAUCAUUAGCCACUUCCAUUAGGGAAGUGCAAAUCUAGAGCUCAGUCAGAUGCCACUUCUCAUCCCCAGGAUGGCUGUAUUCGGAAAGAUGGAUACCAAGUGUCAGCGAGGACUGGAGACAUUGGAACCCUCGUCCAUUGCCGAAACUGAAGCAGGGAGAUGUUAAAUGACUCCUAGAGGAUCACCCAGUGAGGGACAGAACUAAUGAGGUGCGGAACCAGGACGCCUGACCCCUGAAUCUACACCUCCACAGAACCAGGGACUUUGCAGAUCUCACAUUGGGCAGCGCCUGGGAGCCACAUCCACACCACGCUAUCGGGGAUCCUUCCUUCCAGCAUCAGUUUGGACCUCUCUCUCUCCAUUGACAGAGUAGCUCUGAUUUCCACCCACUGGGAACCAGUGCCCAGAGGCCUGUCAGUCCCACCCGCCAAAGACUCCAGCCCGGCCUCGGUUGGACACCGCCAGGGAGCCGCUAGCCCUGAGUUUCCACCCAAGUGCAGCAGCCCUGGCCCAAGAACUGCACCUUGGGGGCCAAGCAGAGCCCGGAAGAUUAAGAAGGAAGCAGAAGGUCACCUUCCUCUUUCUCUCAUGAAACUGUGAAUAAUAAUGCAUUUACUUAUCCUCCUACUUCAAAAGUUGUUUACAUCCUUUGAAGAAUCUUGCAGGGUAGCUUGGCUAGACAGCAGGCGGGACAGUCCAGCGCCUCCGGGGGAGAGGCCAGGGUCUGCCACUCGCCGGUCUUUUGGUCCAGCAGGUAGGCAUUUGGAUUGAUGGUGUAGUCCUUGGUCUGAACAUUGCUGGCCGUGGUGACGCCUCCACAUACAAACACCUUGUCGUCUCCAAUGGAGCAUAUGGCAUGGGACACAUCCAGGGGACAGUCGUUGGGCAAGAGGGGCACCGAGGUGGUGGUCUUGUUGGCCUUUAUCUUCUGCAGGUUGAUUUCCACGCUCUGCCGGUGGCUGUGCACGCAGAGGAUGUUGUCCUGCUGGAAGGAGAGCAAGGGCCGGUGGUUGAACUCAAUGGGGAAGGUGAUACACUGGACCACCUCCCCGGUGCUGGUGUCGAAGCAGUCGACUACCCCGACCCUGGAGAUGUAGCCUUUCACCAAGCAGCGCCCAGUGACGAUAUACAGGCUCCGGUCACCCUUGGUGAUCACAGCCGUGCCAUCCAUGGGGAUGCUCAUCUUCCCUGCCAGGCACCAGGCCUCCUUGUGCUCGUCGUAGCGAUAGAUGUUAGAGACGUAGCGCCUUGGGGCGAUGCUGCCGCCCACCGAGUACACCUUGCCCCCGCAGGUCGCCAUGGUGUGGAAGA